This 106-nucleotide small RNA is filed under the name bioreactor metagenome. RNAcentral describes it as "Rhizobiales sRNA Atu_At1". It matches the Rfam family "Rhizobiales sRNA Atu_At1". The record is from Rfam by way of RNAcentral.
CCGCAAGCCGUGUUAACCGGACGUGGCAGGGAUGAUGAACGAAGGGUUUUUCCGGUUUCUCCUUGCGGCCGCGAAAUGGCAGGCGAGCAUCCAACCUGUCCGGCUU